GGGCGGUUAGCUCAGCGGGAGAGCACUCGCCUCACACGCGAGGGGGCGGCAGUUCGAUCCUGCCACCGCCCA
Molecule: transfer RNA, 72 nt
Filed under: Paenalicyclobacillus ferrooxydans
Lineage: Bacteria; Bacillati; Bacillota; Bacilli; Caryophanales; Alicyclobacillaceae
Description: Alicyclobacillus ferrooxydans tRNA
Rfam family: tRNA
About the family: Transfer RNA (tRNA) molecules are approximately 80 nucleotides in length. Their secondary structure includes four short double-helical elements and three loops (D, anti-codon, and T loops).
Source: Rfam by way of RNAcentral